Molecule: unclassified non-coding RNA, 363 nt
Filed under: Pleioluma moluccana
Lineage: Eukaryota; Viridiplantae; Streptophyta; Magnoliopsida; Ericales; Sapotaceae
Description: partial contains external transcribed spacer (ETS) and 18S rRNA gene
Source: RNAcentral
UCCUGUGUCGCGUGCCUAACGUUGAUGGAAGUUGACCCCGGAUGAGUCCCUAAUUUUCGCUUCUCACCAAUUCGUGGUGUUAGGUUGACGUGAAAGUACUGCCCAUUCACCUUGAUUGCUUCGCCCUUUUGCGUUGCAAUCAAGGCCCAUGGGUUGCUACUAGGUCCCUCGGAUGCAGAACCCUCUUGAAGGGUGCACAGUAUGCUGCUGUUGUUUACCCACAAAGCGUUCAUCGAUUGAUGCGUAGGACGGCUGUGCCCGUCUUGGUCCCCUCUCUAACUAGUUUAGACGGGGCUCAUGCGGUGUCGGCGUCGCGAAGGAAUGCUACCUGGUUGAUCCUGCCAGUAGUCAUAUGCUUGUCUC